CUCAGGACGAACGCUGGCGGCGUGCCUAAUACAUGCAAGUCGAGCGGACAGAUGGGAGCUUGCUCCCUGAUGUUAGCGGCGGACGGGUGAGUAACACGUGGGUAACCUGCCUGUAAGACUGGGAUAACUCCGGGAAACCGGGGCUAAUACCGGAUGGUUGUUUGAACCGCAUGGUUCAAACAUAAAAGGUGGCUUCGGCUACCACUUACAGAUGGACCCGCGGCGCAUUAGCUAGUUGGUGAGGUAACGGCUCACCAAGGCGACGAUGCGUAGCCGACCUGAGAGGGUGAUCGGCCACACUGGGACUGAGACACGGCCCAGACUCCUACGGGAGGCAGCAGUAGGGAAUCUUCCGCAAUGGACGAAAGUCUGACGGAGCAACGCCGCGUGAGUGAUGAAGGUUUUCGGAUCGUAAAGCUCUGUUGUUAGGGAAGAACAAGUACCGUUCGAAUAGGGCGGUACCUUGACGGUACCUAACCAGAAAGCCACGGCUAACUACGUGCCAGCAGCCGCGGUAAUACGUAGGUGGCAAGCGUUGUCCGGAAUUAUUGGGCGUAAAGGGCUCGCAGGCGGUUUCUUAAGUCUGAUGUGAAAGCCCCCGGCUCAACCGGGGAGGGUCAUUGGAAACUGGGGAACUUGAGUGCAGAAGAGGAGAGUGGAAUUCCACGUGUAGCGGUGAAAUGCGUAGAGAUGUGGAGGAACACCAGUGGCGAAGGCGACUCUCUGGUCUGUAACUGACGCUGAGGAGCGAAAGCGUGGGGAGCGAACAGGAUUAGAUACCCUGGUAGUCCACGCCGUAAACGAUGAGUGCUAAGUGUUAGGGGGUUUCCGCCCCUUAGUGCUGCAGCUAACGCAUUAAGCACUCCGCCUGGGGAGUACGGUCGCAAGACUGAAACUCAAAGGAAUUGACGGGGGCCCGCACAAGCGGUGGAGCAUGUGGUUUAAUUCGAAGCAACGCGAAGAACCUUACCAGGUCUUGACAUCCUCUGACAAUCCUAGAGAUAGGACGUCCCCUUCGGGGGCAGAGUGACAGGUGGUGCAUGGUUGUCGUCAGCUCGUGUCGUGAGAUGUUGGGUUAAGUCCCGCAACGAGCGCAACCCUUGAUCUUAGUUGCCAGCAUUCAGUUGGGCACUCUAAGGUGACUGCCGGUGACAAACCGGAGGAAGGUGGGGAUGACGUCAAAUCAUCAUGCCCCUUAUGACCUGGGCUACACACGUGCUACAAUGGACAGAACAAAGGGCAGCGAAACCGCGAGGUUAAGCCAAUCCCACAAAUCUGUUCUCAGUUCGGAUCGCAGUCUGCAACUCGACUGCGUGAAGCUGGAAUCGCUAGUAAUCGCGGAUCAGCAUGCCGCGGUGGAAUACGUUCCCGGGGCCUUGUACACACCGCCCGUCACACCACGAGAGUUUGUAACACCCGAAGUCGGUGAGGUAACCUUUUAGGAGCCAGCCGCCGAAGGUGGGACAGAUGAUUGGGGUGAAGUCGUA
This 1487-nucleotide ribosomal RNA is filed under the name Bacillus subtilis. Its description in RNAcentral is "bacterial SSU rRNA". It matches the Rfam family "Bacterial small subunit ribosomal RNA". Lineage: Bacteria; Bacillati; Bacillota; Bacilli; Caryophanales; Bacillaceae. The record is from RNAcentral.